GAAUGAUAUAUGUCCACUUCGAACUUAUAUAUAGCUGCCAUAGGCAAGACGUGGGGAUUGCUUCUCAUCAUUCAACUCUUGCUGCUGCUCAAUGUCAGGGCAAAAGAGAUUUACCCCAAAUGCAUCCGUGUGGCAAACUAAAGCAUAGUUCCUCACAUAUGAUCCAAAAGUAAUGUAGAGCAAGCAUGAGGCUAAGAUGUGGCAUCACAAAAUCAAUCGCAUUAAUGCUUAGCAAAGGUGCACAGAAGGUGCAGGAGAGGAGUUUAGUAAUGCAAAGCAUUUUCGGAAUGCAAUACGUAACUAUUAUAUCUCAACCGGCUACAAGUUUUAUUUCGUCAAGAAUGAUAAGAUGCAUGCCACAGUUGCAUAUAUCCAAGGUACA
Non-coding RNA from Elaeis guineensis (African oil palm), 382 nucleotides. The record is from RefSeq and is a predicted model, not a curated record. Lineage: Eukaryota; Viridiplantae; Streptophyta; Magnoliopsida; Arecales; Arecaceae.